AAGUCGUAACAAGGUCUCCGUUGGUGAACCAGCGGAGGGAUCAUUACAGGAAGCCGAAAGGCAACUUCAAACCAUCGCGAACGUAUCCAAGUUGCUUCGGCGGCGCGGGACCCCUCGGGGGACCGCAGCCCACGCCCUCCGGGGCGAGGGGCGCCCGCCGGAGGUCACAAACUCUCAUGUAUUACAGUGGCGUCUCUGAGUAAAAAAAAAAAUAAGUUAAAACUUUCAACAACGGAUCUCUUGGUUCUGGCAUCGAUGAAGAACGCAGCGAAAUGCGAUAAGUAAUGUGAAUUGCAGAAUUCAGUGAAUCAUCGAAUCUUUGAACGCACAUUGCGCCCGCUAGUACUCUAGCGGGCAUGCCUGUUCGAGCGUCAUUUCAACCCUCAAGCCCGGCUUGGUGUUGGGGCCCUACGGCUGCCGUAGGCCCCGAAAGGAAGUGGCGGGCUCGCUACAACUCCGAGCGUAGUAAUUCGUUUUCUCGCUAUGGACGUUGCGGCGGUGCUCCUGCCGUUAAAGACCCAUCNUUAACCAAAGGUUGACCUCGGAUCAGGUAGGAAUACCCGCUGAACUUAAGCAUAUCAAUAAGCGGAGGAAAAGAAACCAACAGGGAUUGCCCUAGUANCGGCGAGUGAAGCGGCAACAGCUCAAAUUUGAAAUCUGGCUCCGGCCCGAGUUGUAAUUUGUAGAGGAUGCUUUUGGCGAGGUGCCUUCUGAGUUCCCUGGAACGGGACGCCGGAGAGGGUGAGAGCCCCGUAUAGUCGGACGCCUAGCCUCUGUAAAGCUCCUUCGACGAGUCGAGUAGUUUGGGAAUGCUGCUCAAAAUGGGAGGUAUAUCUCUUCUAAAGCUAAAUAUAGGCCAGAGACCGAUAGCGCACAAGUAGAGUGAUCGAAAGAUGAAAAGCACUUUGAAAAGAGGGUUAAAUAGCACGUGAAAUUGUUGAAAGGGAAGCGCUUGUGACCAGACUUGUGCCGGGCUGAUCAUCCAGUGUUCUCACUGGUGCACUCGACCCGGCUCAGGCCAGCGUCGGUUACCGUAGGGGGAUAAAAGCUCCGGGAACGUGGCUCCUUCGGGAGUGUUAUAGCCCGCUGCUCAAUGCCCUUGUGGUGACCGAGGUUCGCGCUCUGCAAGGACGCUGGCAUAAUGGUCAUCAGCGACCCGUCUUGAAACACGGACC
Molecule: ribosomal RNA, 1175 nt
Filed under: uncultured fungus
Lineage: Eukaryota; Fungi
Description: eukaryotic LSU rRNA
Rfam family: Eukaryotic large subunit ribosomal RNA (bases 537-1175)
Source: RNAcentral